GAGGGAGGGAGGAGCAGUAGCAGUGGUGCGUGGGUGGAUGCUGAGCACAGCCGGUUUGAACCAGUCUGAUGCUGAUAGUGACUCUGGAUGACGGACCAGUUCUAGGAACACAAAGGGCCUAUGCUGUUGACUUAUGGAACCGGUUUCAAAAAACACCAGGGAGCAGAGCGCGAGUGAGUGGGCGUCUGAUGCAGUGCGUUGUCCGACGGCCAUUUGUGGGGGCCACCAUCUGAUUUGAAGACACAGCAUCGAUCCAAUGACGCCACUUGCCUGCGGCGCGUCCUCACCCCGUAGGCAUCAGCCACAACGCGUGCGGGCCUUAGGGCCGCGCACAUUCCACAGCGGGCCGCUCGUCGAAGCGGGAGAAAACCAGGUGACUCUUACCCUACAAGCGGCAGCCACCAGGAAGGUCAGACGCGGAGAACGGCGGAGAGGGGAGGAGGGAAGGAGAACCUCCUGUGCACGGUCACACACUCAAGGUGUGCGCGGUGAAUGAUUUGUCAUUGGCACAGGAACUGGCUUCCCUUAGUGUGUUGUGUAUGUACAGGUGCUGCGCGUUUGAGGCAGUGAUGUAUGAUGAGGGCUUUAGGUGAGGCAAGGUGAGAGCGUAAGGCUGGAGGGGGAUCUGUAGAGAGCAACAAGGGCCAACUGUAGGCCAAGGCUAACGUUUCGAUUGCAUAACGUUUGUCUUAAUCCUUUCAUUAAUUAGUAAGUCCCCGUUGACUGAAGAGCUAGUGAUUGGGGCGGGCAAAAGCCAAUACUGAUUGAUUGGUUGAUUUGAUUGAGUCAUUCAGAAAAUAUGCAAUACGUGACUGAACAAAAACCCAGGACAAAGACGAGUGUCUCACACAUCUGCUCAUUCACUGAGCCCAACCUUUACAUCCUAGUCUAACCCUUCUUACUAACUCCACACACCACAAAGGCAUGGCAGACAUUUCAUCCAAAGUGACAUUCAAAUAGUACAUGUAGCCUACGGUGUUUAAGUGCUGCAGAUAAUCAAGGACAAGAAGGGUGUGUAGUCCAAGCGGAAUUUCACGGGUUAGUGAGGGAAAAAAACCGUCUGAAUGGUUUUACUCUACAAAUAUUCAGUACUUUCCUAAAAAGUAAGAAAAAGUGUGGCAAUUUGGCAGUAUUCAACACUGGAAAAGUCUGGACUGAAGUAGUUAGCUGGUCUCCAUCUCUAACGACUUAUUCAAAACAAUCCUCCACUGAGACAAUGAAGGGACAUCUUCGGUGCGAUAGCCUACCACCUCCUGGUGGCCAUAGUUGUAACUACAACAUCUACCAGAGAUUCUAGGUAGUUUCAUUAGCCAAAUAGUUUAGCUGUCUUCUAGGAAAAGCAGAGAUCCAAUAGACUGACACCUUAGAAGCCAAUCAACUUUCCACGAAAGAGGCAUAUCUUCAGGGUUCUCAAGACUUCCAGCAGGGUGUUUGGUGUGGCUGUUGAUAACAUUUAAACGACUAUCCAUAGUAUCAUUUUUAUCCAUCACAGCCUAUAUUUUUCAAAUAAUGUAGCUAGCCUAUAAGUCACAUUUUGUUGAUAUAUACAGCUAGCCAUUUGUUCCUAGUUAUGAAGAUCUAUUGGUCCUACCUAUGGUCAGAAACCCAAGAUCUGAGGUAAGCAUCCGUCCGUAAAAAAAAAAAAAACGUGGCUUUCCUGAAAAAUGUGAGGAUGGGGUAAUCCGAAUGUUCCUGGAAAGAGCUAUGACUUCACAGGGAAAACCUGACAAGGCCCACCACGAGGGAAGACAAACAAGGAGGGAGCAGCCUAAGGUCAAGGUCGAGUUCACAAGGCUGAUUAGAUAAACAAACCUGAUAACCGGCACAUCACUUUUAAAAACAACAACCCCAUAAAACCUGAAGACAUGAACCUGUUACAGCACAAGGGCGACGCAGGAAGUCCAGGUGGAGACUGUAGGUGAGGCCUCGUCCCUUUUGAUCUGAUGACAACUUGGGUCUCAUUUACUUAAGCAAAGCUAACCAGUGUGACACUAAAGACAGACGUUCUCCAGACACAGACGUUCUCCAGACACAGACGUUCUCCAGACACAGACGUUCUCCAGACACAGACGUUCUUCAGACAGCACUCCUCACUCUGGGAAAGUAUUCGACAAUUCCACAGCUCAUUUCCAAAGACUGUUCCUCUCCCUCCCCUUUCUCUUGGUAUGUUUACGGUCUAUCGAUAUGAAAUGUAAGUGUACAUAGCAUAUCUAUUCCACUCCAUGUGGUCCUGAAUGCCCUGAACAGUGAGUCUCUCUUUAUCUCUGUGCGUCAUAUCAAUUUCACGCAGCCAUUUGAAUUAAUGCAAUGACAAUUUUUCACCAUGUGGGAAAAAAUUAAAAAUGAGGCUGAAGAUGCUUAACAAUAAAGGAAAGAAAUUCACCGCGCAACAUUUGUCCAACAUUAAGCCUAAUCCUGAAUCGGCUCUAUAGCACACGUUACAUCUACAGGCAGACCAGGUGUUCAAUUUGAAGUGACAUCGGCAUUAAAGGCAUCGAAAACAGCCGGCAAAACGGUCCAUUCGAAAUCAUCCAAAAUGAACAUGGUGUGUACAUUCUUAGCCACUAGGUGGCACUGUAACAUCAAAGUACGCGACGGCUUCAUACAUCUACUCAUGUCCUUACAGCCUAGGCCUGGGAUCAUUUUCAUGUCAAGUAUGGAGGACUAAAUGUGCCAAAAUUAAAUACAUAAAUAUAUAAAUACAUAAAUUAAUAAAUACUCUUUACAUUUAAAAUGAAAUGCGCAUUUCAUUUUAAAUGUAAAGAGGCGGGACAUAAGCCAUUUGAUAGAACUGUCCUCAUGGAACUGCAGUGUUUUAGGCUUUAUAAAACACAGUUUUUUCCUGAACAUGUUUAAAUGGCCCUAAAACGUAACCUGUAAUGGUUUAUUCCUGGUGUGGAGCUGUAGAACGGUGCUGGCAGCCUGGCACAACCAAGACGCACAAACUUCUCUGACCCUCUACCUGACCAUGCGCUUGCUUCAAUAAACGUGACUGUGAACAGGCCACAUGUUAACAAUAUCAUCACUUAAGAGAUGUCUAUUUAUUUAUUUAAGUAUUUAUUUAUUUAAGUAUUUAUUUAUUUAAUUUUGGCACAUUUAGUCCUCCAUAGUCAAGAGCCAUUUCAUUUUCAAACCAAAUUAGGGUGCAUCGGAAGCCACAAUAGAUGAAAAGCUGGAUUUGAAUUUGAGACAUGCACUGAUAUGACACUGAUAUAGCUGAUUAACAGGUUUAUUAUCAUCCAUCGCAUGAGUCGGUCUAUUCCUCGUUGAAAUGUCUGCAUUCAACUUCGCUUCUUUAAGGUUGUUUAAACAUUUAACCACUUUUUUUUCUUUUCUUUUUUUACUUCUACUUAAACUUUUUUGGGCCCCAAUAGUUAAAUUCAAUGGCAGAGACAACAUUAUUAGUUGGAUUUAAGACAUAUUGUAAAUGUUCCAUUUCAACGAAAUUGACACAGUAGUACCUUUCCAUGAUGCUCAAAAGACGCUAUGGCUGCAUCCCAAAACCUUUAUUUGCAACUAUUAAGUUUUAGGCUACUUAUCAAUUUUAGGCUACUUAUCAAUUUGAGUGCCCCGCAUAAGUGGUCAAGGAGCCACAUGUGGCUCUGGAGCCAUGGGUUACAGACCCCCUGAACUAGAUCUAUCCUCUAAGGCCCUACGUUCCUUUUAGAAAGGUUGACCUGGACACUAUCCAGCCGUCCCCCAUCCUCAGACAGCGUUCACUAAACCUAGGACGACCCAGCCUUACCGUAAGCCCAGCCCUACCGUAAGCCCAGCCCUACCGUAAGCCCAGCCCUACCGUAAGCCCAGCCCUACCGUAAGCCCAGCCCUACCCCCUCGGGUCUGCAGUGGCAGUGGCCACUAGAUGGCAGCAGAAAAGCGCGUGUUCAGGUCCAGUGAGUGACAAGGUUCAAUCGAUGGCUCCAUUACCUCCCAGUCAGCCCCCGGCUGACUCCUGCCCCGCCUGCACACUGACUUACACCUCCGCUGACGGCUCACAUCCUGUCAGUCCUCUAUGCCUGUCGGCAGAAAAAAAAAAAGAUGAUCCCUCCCUAAAAAGAACACUUUGUUGUCAAGGACUUUGGGUCAGCCGGGCGUGCCCGUAACUCCAGGUUUGUAGUGCUAUUACGGUGGCGUUUUGUGGUGGUGAACUUAGGCAGCCAACGUUUCGACAAGAUAUGAUAGCAACCCCUCUCGUCUCUGGCGAGUUUCUGGAAAGUUGGAACGCUUUUGAGACGCUGAGGGUUCAUCCUUGCCGUCUACUUUAACCAUUACGUCGGUCAACUAACAACCCUGGGAAAGAGAGAACUCUGAAAGGAUUGAUUUAUACAGGUUAAUUCAAGAGCAAGAUAGUUGGGUUUAAAGUAAGCCCUACCUACUGUUUGACCAGGCUGACGGGGCCUAAAGCAAACAACAUGUGCACCAAGUCAUGUAGAAACCCUUCUCUGCUGAGUUAUGAAACACAUCCAUCAGAGGUCUGACAGGAGGAAUCAUGCACACAUGCACGCACACACACACACACACACACACACACAGGAAAAGCACCCAAGUGAAAAAG
Long non-coding RNA from Hypomesus transpacificus, 4555 nucleotides. RefSeq lists it as uncharacterized. The transcript has 2 exons. NCBI's taxonomy places the organism in Eukaryota, Metazoa, Chordata, Actinopteri, Osmeriformes, Osmeridae. The record is from RefSeq and is a predicted model, not a curated record.